RNAcentral lists this ribosomal RNA (400 nucleotides) under phytoplankton environmental sample. Its description in RNAcentral is "partial small subunit ribosomal RNA". It matches the Rfam family "Eukaryotic small subunit ribosomal RNA", at positions 587 to 987 of the family's 1831-position model. The record is from RNAcentral.
AGCUCUGUAAGCGUAUACCAAAGUUGUUGCAGUUAAAACGCUCGUAGUCGGACUUUGGCGGUUUCGGGAGUGCGCCGCGUCGUGCGGACACUUUGCAGGAACUGCUUUUGUGGGUUUCGCGUCAGAUGAGGGCUGUUAAUUCGGUAACGUCUGUACGCAACCACUGUUUACUGUGAGAAAAUCAGAGUGCUCAAAGCAGGCAUUUGCCGUGAAUGUAUUAGCAUGGAAUAAUAGAAUAGGACUUAGUCUUAUUUUGUUGGUUUGUUAGGACUGAGUAAUGAUUAAGAGGGACAGUUGGGGGCAUUUGUAUUUCGGCGCUAGAGGUGAAAUUCUUAGAUUGCCGAAAGACAAACUGCUGCGAAAGCGUCUGCCAAGGAUGUUUUCAUUGAUCAAGAACGAA